Molecule: long non-coding RNA, 713 nt
Filed under: Daphnia pulicaria
Lineage: Eukaryota; Metazoa; Arthropoda; Branchiopoda; Diplostraca; Daphniidae
Description: uncharacterized LOC124314346, transcript variant X1
Source: RNAcentral
UUUUGCUAGUGCAAUGAGUGCAUCUAGCUAACUUCUGGAUUACUUCUGAAAACAAUUUCACCGUAACAUUUUCAAGAGGAAACGUGUAUGAUGUAAGUGUCGUGCAGCCUACUGGCAUGGUAAAGGAACUAUUUUCUUUUACUGAAUGUGCCAUCGAAAUGAUACAGGAUUCAUCAAAUUUAUCUACUGUUUGUAUUGGACUUGCUAGAUCACCAACCCCAGCAUAGACCAAUCUCUCAUUUCAUCUUCUCAGGAGAGGAUUGGAUAGCUGAUCUGUGUUAUCAUAUGUUCUAAAUUGGAGGUUUCUAAAUUGACAUUCAUGACAGACUUUAUGAGAAGUCAUGUCCUUUCAAGAAAGUCAACAAGUUUCACAAAUUUUUCUAAUUCAACAACUCACGUAGAAUUUUGCAUCUAGUCUAUUAGUGAAAAUCGCGAUUCCAUGUGUUUGGUAGUUAUAAGAAAUUGGUUGUUUAAAAAACAAACAAUGGGGUGUUCUGAGUAGCCAAAAAAACUCACCAUUGUUUGUUUUUUGAACAACAAAAAUUUUGUAACUUGACUGACGCAGAUUUCCGCAAAACGAAACCAUCGCUUUUUGUCUCAUUGCCGCAGCGGUGGUGGCGGGUUGCGUUAAACUCGUACGUAGAAGAAAAACAUCUACAACCGGACGCACUGUUUAUUGAAAAUUUUGAACAUUUAAAAAAAUAAUAAAAAUU